GAUGAAGAACGUAGCAAAAUGCGAUACUUGGUGUGAAUUGCAGAAUCCCGUGAACCAUCGAGUUUUUGAACGCAAGUUGCGCCCGAAGCCUUUUGGCCGAGGGCACGUCUGCCUGGGCGUCACGCAUCGCGUCGCCCCCCACAAUUCUCCGUAAAGGGAACGUGUGUUUUGGGGGCGGAUAUUGGUCUCCCGUGCUCAUGGCGUGGUUGGCCGAAAUAGGAGUCCUUUCGAUGGACGCACGAACUAGUGGUGGUCGUAAAAACCCUUGUCUUUUGUUUCGUGCUGUUGCUCGCAAGGUAAACUCUUUAAAAACCCCAAUGUGUCGUCUCUUGACGACGCUUCGACCGCGACCCCAGGUCAGGCGGGACUACCCGCUGAGUUUAAGCAUAUCAAUAAGCGGAGGA
Molecule: unclassified non-coding RNA, 404 nt
Filed under: soil metagenome
Description: partial contains 5.8S ribosomal RNA, internal transcribed spacer 2, and large subunit ribosomal RNA
Rfam family: 5.8S ribosomal RNA (bases 1-122)
Source: RNAcentral